Molecule: long non-coding RNA, 199 nt
Filed under: Lathyrus oleraceus (garden pea)
Lineage: Eukaryota; Viridiplantae; Streptophyta; Magnoliopsida; Fabales; Fabaceae
Description: Pisum sativum (pea) long non-coding RNA (PSAT_LNC024462)
Source: RNAcentral
UGAUAUUUGCUGAGAAACAGUCAGAGAAUCACCAACAAAAUCGCAGACUAUCUUUGAAUCCCCUUUAUAGCUCUUGACUGUUUCUUUUCCGAAUUAACAGUUCCAGUGCAUGGAGACUAUUCCAUAUGACUUAUUUUAAUGCAGUGUGUGGUUGCAUUGACUUGGACUCAUGGUGAGCGCGCACCUCUGUACCAUUAGA